This 442-nucleotide ribosomal RNA is filed under the name uncultured bacterium. RNAcentral describes it as "partial 16S ribosomal RNA". It matches the Rfam family "Bacterial small subunit ribosomal RNA", at positions 338 to 795 of the family's 1533-position model. The record is from RNAcentral.
CCUACGGGCGGCAGCAGUGGGGAAUAUUGGGCAAUGGGCGAAAGCCUGACCCAGCAACGCCGCGUGAAGGAAGAAGGCUUUCGGGUUGUAAACUUCUUUUGACAGGGAAGAGCAGAAGACGGUACCUGUCGAAUAAGCCACGGCUAACUACGUGCCAGCAGCCGCGGUAAUACGUAGGUGGCAAGCGUGGUCCGGAUUUACUGGGGGGAAAGGUCGUGAAGCCGGGCUGACAAGGCAGAUGUGAAAUCCGGGGGUUCAACCCCCGAACUGCAUUUGAAACUGUUGGUCUUGAGUAUCGGAGAGGCAGGCGGAAUUCCUAGUGUAGCGGUGAAAUGCGUAGAUAUUAGGAAGAACACCAGUGGCGAAGGCGAUUCUCUGGACUGUAACUGACGCUGAGGCUCGAAAGCGUGGGGAGCAAACAGGAUUAGAUACCCCAGUAGUC